GUCACCAUGAAUGACAUCCAGUUCAUAUUAAUCACUGGAAUAUUCAUUCUUGGGAGACGGUGCUUUCGUUCAUUCUCAGAACUAUUUCCCGACUCGACAUUUCCCUGAGACUUUCACCAUUCAAAUGUCACAUUUUCUAUGCCGUACUUCGAUAUUGGAAACUGUUUGAGUAAUCAGUGUUACUAUCUUCAUUCGGGUUUGAAGGCCGUCGUAGUUUUGAACUGCAUCACGACUGGAAGUAUUUCGUUAAGGAAUUCAUGGUGACCGCCCCUUGAAGCAAAUGAAGCAAAUGAAGAUAAUUAUUUUAAGCAUUGAAAA
Leptinotarsa decemlineata (Colorado potato beetle) is the source of this 318-nucleotide long non-coding RNA. RefSeq lists it as uncharacterized. The record is from RefSeq and is a predicted model, not a curated record. Lineage: Eukaryota; Metazoa; Arthropoda; Insecta; Coleoptera; Chrysomelidae.